This is a long non-coding RNA of Acanthopagrus latus (yellowfin seabream), 879 nucleotides long. RefSeq lists it as uncharacterized. The transcript is spliced from 3 exons. The record is from RefSeq and is a predicted model, not a curated record. Lineage: Eukaryota; Metazoa; Chordata; Actinopteri; Spariformes; Sparidae.
CCAUUUAGUUCUAAAUUAAUUACUUUAACUGUUGCAGAUGAGAUUAUCAGGAUACUUUUUUAGGACACAGGGCCGACACCCUCUGAGGGCGAACCAGCCCGGAGGUUAAACAGAGAGAUUGUGGACCGAAGGAUAGAGAAGAGAAACAGACACAUUAAUCAUCUUCAGAGGAAAUGACCUGUAAAAAUGACAAUCAAUAUCUAUCCAAAUAUUAGCUCACACACCCCAUCAGCGCUCUCACUCUCAGUCUGAAUUGCUUAAUCAUUGACUGCGACUCAGUGGCACAAUUUAAGUGGACUUUAGUAGACUGUCUGUCUGUCUGUUGGCACACACACACAAACACACCCUCCUAUAGCUGCUUUGUAGUUUCCAAAUGUAACCAGUUUAUCCAUUAAUGUCCUGAUUCUUCACUGACUUAUUGAUUGUUGCUAUCACUUUUUUGAGAACAAUGGCCAAUGGCUGAUCUAUUCAGAAUUCCACUGUCAGCUCUGCACUGAUGGUGCAACAUUCCCUCUGGCGAACAUAUCUGAGGUCUUGGUACUAUAAACAUUUUUGCUGUUCUGCUGCUUUGCCCAUUUAAAUACCCCCCUCUUCCUCCUGAUAUGUAGUAAUAUGUAGAGAUGAUGACCUAUUGAUUUCUGCUGGAGGGAUGUUUGACAAGCAGGCGGCAGCUGGAACACACUCAGCUCAUUCAUACUGCUGUUUUGCGCACCCCCUCCAUCCUUCCAACAACGCCCAGUCUUCUCAGAUCCACCACCGCCCAGUCUUCACAGCUGAUCCGACUUCAUCAGCCACCGCCAGCGUUUGAGAUCCAUGAGUGGAUUUUUCUUGCUGCUGCUUGGGGCAGUUGUCCCUCUAAUAAACAUUUUCUUUACUCCA